This is a non-coding RNA of [Ashbya] aceris (nom. inval.), 71 nucleotides long. Lineage: Eukaryota; Fungi; Ascomycota; Saccharomycetes; Saccharomycetales; Saccharomycetaceae. The record is from the annotation of a GenBank genome assembly.
AGAAAUUAGCUUAAUUGGUAGAGCAUUCGUUUUACACGCGAAAGGUUAUGAGUUCGAACCUCUUAUUUCUA